Molecule: unclassified non-coding RNA, 291 nt
Filed under: Hevea brasiliensis (rubber tree)
Lineage: Eukaryota; Viridiplantae; Streptophyta; Magnoliopsida; Malpighiales; Euphorbiaceae
Source: RNAcentral
UCUUCUUCUUCUUCUUCUUUUGUUGGUAUUGUUUUUUGCCUCCUAUAAUUGAGUUUUUCUUCUGUGCUCCUGCUGAAAUUGAUGCCGAGGGCCACGAGUCGCGUGUGAACUGAAAUUGAUGUUGAAAUGCAGAAGAGGAGAGGAAGAGAAAAUGUGAAUGUGAAUGGUGGUGAGAUUGUCUUAUGAAGAUUGACGGAGAGGAGAGUGAUAUGGCAGACUAGGGUUGCAGAAGGGGAGAGAAGAAGAGGAGAAUGGGAGCCAAAAACGUGUAACCGAGGAAGUGAGUUUGAG